GCCGGGUGUGGUGUCGCGCGCCUGUAAUCCCAGCUACUCAGGAGGCUGAGGCAGGAGAAUCACUUGAACCUGGGAGGUGGAGGUUGCAGUGAGCAGAGAUUGCACCACUGCACUCCUGUCUGGGCAACAGAGCAAGACUCUUGUCUUUAAAA
Molecule: small RNA, 152 nt
Filed under: Pongo abelii (Sumatran orangutan)
Lineage: Eukaryota; Metazoa; Chordata; Mammalia; Primates; Hominidae
Source: RNAcentral